This 305-nucleotide ribosomal RNA is filed under the name uncultured bacterium. Its description in RNAcentral is "bacterial SSU rRNA". It matches the Rfam family "Bacterial small subunit ribosomal RNA", at positions 337 to 634 of the family's 1533-position model. The record is from RNAcentral.
UCCUACGGGGGGCAGCAGUAGGGAAUCUUCCACAAUGGGCGAAAGCCUGAUGGAGCAACGCCGCGUGGGUGAAGAAGGUCUUCGGAUCGUAAAACCCUGUUGUUAGAGAAGAAAGUGCGUGAGAGUAACUGUUCACGUUUCGACGGUAUCUAACCGGAAAGCCACGGCUAACUACGUGCCAGCAGCCGCGGUAAUACGUAGGUGGCAAGCGUUAUCCGGAUUUAUUGGGCGUAAAGAGAACGCAGGCGGUCUUUUAAGUCUGAUGUGAAAGCCUUCGGCUUAACAGGAGUAGUGCAUUGGAAACG